Molecule: long non-coding RNA, 497 nt
Organism: Gallus gallus (chicken)
Lineage: Eukaryota; Metazoa; Chordata; Aves; Galliformes; Phasianidae
Exons: 4
Source: RefSeq, a predicted model, not a curated record
UUUUUUUUUUUAUUUGCCUUUAUGGGAACUUGGAACACCUGGUGAGGGGUGUAGCCAGCCCGACAAGCACAGGUGGAAGGAAUUCCAGAUGGGGCUGAGCCUGUCUCCACCCCUCCCUAACCUCAUUUAAGGGCUGGCAGCCCCAGAGGCAUUGUCUGUAGCUGGAGUCUGCCUCCUGUGGGUUGCUAGGCUGCCGGUUGAUCCGUCUUGUGUCUGCAAUAACCCGAACGUAGUCUAGUAAGGUUUGCUCAAGUGAGAUGGAAAAUGAAGAGGUCGGCUCCAAAACAAGCUUGUGACUGCUUUGCUUUGACAGAGGGAGAUGCAAAUAAAAGAGGAUUGGUGACUUCUCCACCAGCUGCUAUUGGCCGUCCGGACCUCUUUGGGUUGCAGUGUUAGAUGUGCUCUUGUAUGGGAACUGUUGAAUCACGGCCUGAACCUCUGAUUGACCACCCGAGGCGAGCGCUGAGUCAGCUGCAGGGGCACAGGUGAACACAGUU